AAACUUCAGGUUGUAUUUAAAGGGUCACACUGGGACAGCAGGAAAACAGAGCAGCCUGAUCUUACAUGGUGCUGAUUUCAGCACUAAAGAUGCAGAUAAUGACAACUGUAUGUGCAAAUGUGCCCUCAUGCUAACAGGAGGCUGGUGGUUUGAUGCUUGUGGCCCCUCCAAUCUAAAUGGAAUGUUCUACACUGCUGGACAAAACCACGGAAAACUGAACGGGAUAAAGUGGCACUACUUCAAAGGGCCCAGUUACUCCUUACGUUCCACAACGAUGAUGAUUCGACCUUUGGACUUUUGAAGGCAUAAUGUCAGAAGCAGUAAUAAAAGCAACAGAGAAAUCUGAAGAAGCUACCAGACAAGAAACUGCUUGAAAACUUCUGAAGCAAACGAUAGUGUCUCCCUUCCAGCUACAAGUGGCAGUUAUGUGAAGUCACCAAGGUUCUUGACUGUGGAUUUGGAGCCUUUUGAGUUCACAAGAGUCUCCUGAUGGGGUUAACCGUGUUCAUAUGGCUUGACUAUGGAGAAUGCCACUCACUAUCAUGUUUUAAAAAGGGAAGAAACUGUUCAGUUCACUGUGCUUCAAACUACUACUGGAUCUUAUUUUAGAACUAUGGUAGCCAGAUGACAAAUAUGGUUUAUUUCAUGUGAAAACUGAGAAGAAGGAGGAGGAGGAGGAAAUGAACAACAAAAAAAGAAAAAUAUACAUGAAGAAUACAAACAGGCCUGCCAUAAUCCUUUGGAAAAGAUAUAUCACACCAGUGAAAUGGUGUUAUUUCUAUGCAAACCUACUAAAAAUCAGUUUAUACUGUUGCACAAUUUUAAUAAAAGUUUAGGAAGAAUAAGCAUUGCCCUCUAAGUUGGUUAAGUGUUAAUGGAUUCCAGAAGCCUAACUCUUUAAUCAUACUUACUAAUUGAUUUCAGUUAACCCAUCUUCAAAUGUAAAUUCCAUUUUGGUAAACCAUAAUGAAUUGUAGUACAUGAAGAAUAAUAGUAUGAGGUAGAAACAUGCUCCACUUACUCUGAUUUUUGAUAUAGUUUUCAGGAAAAAAAUGGACAUAAUCAAGUAUGGACAUAUGAGAUAAAAAAUUAUCCCCCCAUGCGACAGUUUUCAUUUACUUUAAAAACUGACUGAUAGAUAUUUAUAGCAUGAGUAAAGUUUAAAGAAUGUGAAAUACACCAUCAAGCUCUUAAAAUAAUAUACAUGCAUUUAAUAUUUCCUUUGAUAUUAUACAUGAGAACAGUAUUUUCAAGUAUAUUAAGUUGGAGUAAAACCAAGGAAGCUGGAACGGUUCAUUUGACAAUAUCUUCCUGCGUACUGUACACUUAAGCGUAACCUCAUUACUUUUAAAAUAAUGAUUUCAAUUCUUCAUUCUGUUAUUUCAUGCUAAUUUAAUUUUUGCUAAUUAACUGAAACAUGCUUUCCAGAUUCACCCUGUUCCAGUUUCUAUGAGAGAUACACUUUGAAGUCUAUAAAAAUAAAAGAAGAAUUAUAAAUAUCAUUGUACAUAGCAUGUUUAUUUCCAUGGUAAACCUAAUAGCUGUUUAAUCUGGAAUAUGCAACAUUGUCCUUAAUUGAUACAAAUAAACACAAGUUUUCAGAGAAAUCUACUACAUUAUUUUAUGAAAUACAUUAUUUCUUCACAUUUGUCUCUCUCAAGCUCUGUUUUCGUAGGCAAUUUCUGAUUUUUAAAAAAUUAUUUAGUGGAGAAAACUGCCAAAACUCUGUAUUAAACAUAAAGAAAAUACACAAAAAGAAAAUCAAUCAUAGUCACCUAAAAAGUUCUGACUGCUAGCUACUAUAACUCUCUUAGUGAAAAUAUUCCUAUGGGAUAAUCUAUUUUAAGUGAAUUUGGGGGCACAGGUUUUUGUGGCAAUUUGAAGUUGCUACAGUAUUUUGUCAAAAAGUGCUUUCUGCCUUUAAGUGUGCAAGGUUACAGUAGUGAAGCGUUUUUAUCAAAAUGUGAGUUACUACAUGAAAACUGAAAUAUAUAUUAGAUAUCCUUUCUUAGAAAAAUAAGUUUUUUUCAAAGCAACAAUACAGAUUGCCUCCAUUUGAGAGAAUAAAGCUAUUCCAUUUUUAAGAAAAUGUUGUUAAAAUUUACCACCACAUCUUUAUGUUUAUGGAUUUGUAUACAACCCCAUUUUGCCUUACAAGUGAUAUUUGCUGAUAUUACACAGUCUUUCUGUUCUUGGUGACUCCUUCAUAGCACUGUUUAGCCCCUCCCUCUAAAAGCCUUCUCGAUUGUUUUCCUUUAAGUGAAUGAAAGUGAGUGUUUUGUUCUUUUGUGUUCCUACAGAUUUUUGUUACCAGUCUUUUGAUAAGAAAUAGUACUUCCCAACUCAUAUUACAAAAAUAAAAUGAAA
Leptonychotes weddellii (Weddell seal) is the source of this 2367-nucleotide non-coding RNA. Lineage: Eukaryota; Metazoa; Chordata; Mammalia; Carnivora; Phocidae. The record is from RefSeq and is a predicted model, not a curated record.